RNAcentral lists this ribosomal RNA (496 nucleotides) under uncultured bacterium. RNAcentral describes it as "partial 16S ribosomal RNA". It matches the Rfam family "Bacterial small subunit ribosomal RNA", at positions 28 to 506 of the family's 1533-position model. The record is from RNAcentral.
GAUGAACGCUGGCGGCGUGCCUAAUACAUGCAAGUCGAGCGAACAGACGAGGAGCUUGCUCCUCUGACGUUAGCGGCGGACGGGUGAGUAACACGUGGAUAACCUACCUAUAAGACUGGGAUAACUUCGGGAAACCGGAGCUAAUACCGGAUAAUAUAUUGAACCGCAUGGUUCAAUAGUGAAAGACGGUUUUGCUGUCACUUAUAGAUGGAUCCGCGCCGCAUUAGCUAGUUGGUAAGGUAACGGCUUACCAAGGCAACGAUGCGUAGCCGACCUGAGAGGGUAAUCGCCCAAACUGGAACUAGGAAAAGGUCCAACCACACACGGGAGGCAGCGGGGGGAAAACUUCCGGAAGGGGGGAAAGCCUGCGGGAGCAACCCGGGGGAAAAGAUGAAGGUUUUCGGAUCGUAAAACUUUUUUAUUAGGGAAAAAAAAAUGUGUAAGUAACGAUGCACGUCUGGACGGUACCAAAGAAAAAAGCCACGGCAAACUACGG